Molecule: long non-coding RNA, 1188 nt
Organism: Musa acuminata AAA Group (dessert banana)
Lineage: Eukaryota; Viridiplantae; Streptophyta; Magnoliopsida; Zingiberales; Musaceae
Exons: 2
Source: RefSeq, a predicted model, not a curated record
CCCAUUCUAUCAGCUCUUGUGGACAGAGAGCCGUUGAGGAUUCUGCAGAACAUGGCUGUGGUUGAGACACCAUGGCUUUUGGACCUCUCCUGUCAAGUUACCAAUUUGCAGUGGAGAGAUUUUUGGUAUCAUCGACAGAGCAUGACUGAACUACCACACAUAAAUGUGAUGAUGGUUGUGUUUCGAGCCAAGCAACAUUACGGCAAUAUUUGUAAGAUGAACGGUGCCAUCAGUAGAGAGGUUGGUAGGAGGCAUCUUAUCAUCUUUGCCUACAUCUAUUUAGUGGGAGUGAGGAUGAAGCACUCGAUAUGUCUAGCAGUUAGAGGUGGAGGACUGUCAGAGAGAGAAAAAGAUUGUUUCUUUCACUAAGAUAUGAAGAUAGAAGUUAUUGACGGCUAACCCAAAGGGCAAGAAUCGAUUAGAGACCUUAAGGUAUGGAAAUCUGGAUAGCUGGCCAAGUGGACUUCUAAUGGCAGUGGUUGUUAUGGGGUGAGGGGAAGGCAUCAGCGACAGAGGCGGAUAUGGGUCAAAGAUUGCCGCGCGCCGCCCUGCGGUGGUCUCCGGCGAGUGGUGAAGGAGGGUGGAGGAGGACCUGCCUGCUGAUACUGGCCCUGAUCUGCUGCUCCCCGGUGCUCAUCCCCCUGGCCUGCGUCUCCUUCCCCCUGCUCUGCAUCGUCGGGCUCUGUCUCCAGGCCAGGAGGCGGCGGCCGCGGAACUCACCGGGCUGGGAAAGCGGCGGCGCCUCAGUGAUCCUGGGGCUGUGCCAGGAACAGGAGGCGCCGGCGAUGGAGCCGCGACUGCUGCGCCGCUACUUGGAGGACCAGCUGCGGCUCGUCGGAGGAGAACUGCUGGUCUUGGACUGCGACAGCGGCGGGGGACAUUAAGCGUGUGUAGGAAAAAAAGAUCGCUUUUUUCGCUUACUAUUGGAGCUGAAUUGGGCUUUAAUUAGUGUUUGUCGGAGACUUGAAGUGUGUAAACCGAUUCAAUCUUCGUUUGUUUGUUUUGGAUCGAUGGCAAAAAAAACACAGAAAUGUAGAAAGCAGAGAGAAAUGGAUGAAUUCGUUCCUGAAAUCAUCCUUUCUUGCACUACGUUUGAUCUGAUUUGUUCGGCACAGUGCGAGCAAAUCCAAUUCUAGUAAUUCUAUGUAUGAGUGUUCUUGAUAAGAAGGCAUUAUUGUAUUUAGUUUA